AUGAACGCUGGCGGCGUGCCUAAUACAUGCAAGUCGAGCGGAAAGGCCUCUUCGGAGGUACUCGAGCGGCGGACGGCUGAGUAACACGUAGGAACAUACCCCAAACUGAGGGAUAAGCACCAGAAAUGGUGUCUAAUACCGCAUGUGAUCUUCGGAUUAAAGCUUCGGCGGUUUGGGAAUGGCCUGCGCAUGAUUAGCUUGUUGGUGAGGUAAUAGCUCACCAAGGCGACGAUCAUUAGCUGGUCUGAGAGGAUGACCAGCCAGACUGGAACUGAGAACGGUCCAGACUCCUACGGGAGGCAGCAGUAGGGAAUUUUCCACAAUGGACGAAAGUCUGAUGGAGCAACGCCGCGUGCAGGAUGAAGGCUCUUGGGUCGUAAACUGCUUUUAUAUGUGACGAUUAUGACGGUAGCAUAUGAAUAAGGAUCGGCUAACUCCGU
Molecule: ribosomal RNA, 440 nt
Filed under: uncultured bacterium
Lineage: Bacteria
Description: bacterial SSU rRNA
Rfam family: Bacterial small subunit ribosomal RNA
Source: RNAcentral